Molecule: long non-coding RNA, 204 nt
Filed under: Gossypium raimondii (Peruvian cotton)
Lineage: Eukaryota; Viridiplantae; Streptophyta; Magnoliopsida; Malvales; Malvaceae
Description: long non-coding RNA (GRAI_LNC001857)
Source: RNAcentral
UGGGGAGGAAAGAGAGUAUUUUUUUUCUAAUUUUUUUUAGAAGGAAGAGUAAAAUGAUUUUUUUGAAACUUUUUAACUAAUAUAGGGAGCUAAAACGGCAUCGUUUUGACCCAGCUCCAAAAUGCCCAAAACGGCGUCGUUUUGACCUGAAUCGGCCGACCCAACCCGAACCACCUAGGAUCAGCGUGUUUCUGGAUAAAAAGG